GAGAUUUUCCACUCGAAUAGUAGCUCUUUCCUCUCCCUACUUGAUCAAGUUCGACCAUUCAACAAUGUGCAUCCGGUGAUCUGUAGUAUUCUAACAAAAUUAUCCCCGAACCAAAACAGCGAGCUGAACAUACUCAACAGGUUUUAUCUAAACUUCUGCGAUCCACAAGUGAUGGAAAAUGGCAGCCCCCGAUAAAAGGCUAUAAAAAACGUGGAUUGGAUGGUUCUAAGGCCCAAGCCUUAAUUUGGCAUAUGUUGGAUGAUGUGGGCCCUACCUGGGAUAUUAAUUAGGCAUUGGCUGGAACAUUAAAGGCCGUGACUUUUCAUGAGCCUUGUGUCUUUUCAUUUAGGGAAGUUUGACCACAUAUUUAAUGCAUUCAACCUUUAUGUAUACAUUCAUCCUAUCCAGCCAUCUAGGGAAUAUGAAUAGUUAUUUGCAUUCACACAUUCAUUCUGCCUAGACCUAUUGGGAAUAGGACAGGGAGGAUAUGGUGAUUUUUCUUUGCAUGAUGGUUUCCUCUUCAAGGGAACCCGACUUUGCUUACCUAACACAUCACUCCGUGAAGAAAUGAUUUGGGAAUUUCAUUCCGGAGGGGCAGCAGGUCAUUUUGGAAGAGAUAAGACAAUUGCAAUGGCCGAAGAUCGCUUUUAUUGGCCAAAGCUGAAGUGAGAUGUGGGCAGGGUUGUUUCGCAAUGCCGUACUUGCCAACUUUCAAAGGGAAGAAAGAAGAAUACAGGUUUAUACACUCCGCUACCUGUGCCCCAUGAGCCUUGGCAGGAUUUAAGUAUGGAUUUUGUCCUUGGAUUACCAAAAACCCUUCGGGAACAUGACUCUAUCUUUGUGGUUGUGGAUCACUUCUCCAAAAUGGCACACUUCAUUCCUUGUUCAAAGACAUCGGAUGCUAUCCACAAUGCUAAGCUCUUCUUUCAAGAAGUUGUUAGACUUCCUGGAUUACCAAAGACCAUGGUCUCUGCCCGUGAUUCAAAGUUUGUGAGUUACUUCUAGCGAACGCUAUGGAAGUUGCUGAAUACAAAACUGAAAUUUUCUUCGGCUUUUCAUCCGCAAACUGAUGGUCAAACGGAGGUUGUUAACCGCAGUUUGGGUAAUCUAUUUCACUGCCUUGUGGGUGAUCAUGUUGGCAGCUGGGAUCAGGUGCUUCCCAUGGCUGAAUUUGCAUACAACAGCUCCGUAAAUAGAUCUACAGGACACAGCCCUUUCGAAAUUGUCACAGGUUUGCUCCUAGGAAACCAAUAGAUUUGGUUCCUCUACCUAUCCAGGCUCGCCCAAGUGCUGAAGCUGAAGCUUUUAGUCAACACAUCCGUGAUAUCCACGAUGAUGUGCGGCGAAAGAUUGCCAUCAGCAAUGAGAGCUACAAACAACAUGCUGAUUUGAGGCGGAGGUUUGCUGAAUUUGAUGAAGGCGACAUGGUUAUGGUUCAAGUCAAACCAGAACGGUAUCCUAAAGGGGUUUAUAAGAAACUUCAUUCAAAGAGUGCUGGUCCAUUUAAAGUUCUCACGAAAAUCAGCUCUAACGCCUAUGUGCUUGAAUUACCUGAUGAUAUGGGCAUAAGUAAUGUGUUCAAUAUUGAGGAUCUGACUCGAUAUUCCGGGCAUGUUGAGGAUAGUAACCGGGGCUGACCCUGUGGCAUCUCUCCCGGCAUCCAAACGUUUCGAGGAUGAAAUCGAAGAUGUGGUCGAUCAUCAAAUAAUUUUGACUCGACAUGGAGGUUAUCAAAAGUAUCUCAUUAAGUGGAAGGGGCAUUCACUUUCAGAUUGUACUUGGAUUACUGAAGAGGAAUUUCACCGCCUCAACCCGGACUUUCAUGAACAGUUCCAUGCUUUUAACUCGUCGGGGUCGAGUUCUCUCAAGCCGGGAAGAGUUGAUGGAAAAUGGCAGCACCCGAUAAAAGGCUAUAAAAAACGUGGAUUGGAUGGUUCUAAGGCCCCAGCCUUAAUUUGGCAUAUGUUGGAUGAUGUGGGCCCUACUUGGGAUAUUAAUUAGGCGUUGGCUGGAACAUUAAAGGCCGUGACUUUUCAUGAGUCUUGUGUCUUUUCAUUUAGGGAAGUUUGACCACAUAUUUAACGCAUUCAACCUUUAUGUAUACAUUCAUCCUAUCCAGCCAUCUAGGGAAUAUGAAUAGUUAUUUGCAUUCACACAUUCAUUCUGCCUAGACCUAUUGGGAAUAGGAGUAGUUAUUUGCAUUCAAGUAUUUUGGAGUCUAUAUAAGUCAUGUAAUCUCAAGAGCUUGAAUUAUGAUUGAAUGAAUGAAAAAUUAGCUUUAAGCUUUAUUGAUUGUGUGAUGCAAUCUCAUUCUUUGGUGCGAUGCUAAAAAGGCCUUAGGUGUGAUGCCUUUGGUAACCUAGGUGUGAGGCCUAGAUCUAUCCUUCUCUAAUUCUUCUCUCCUUCUUACAAAAUACUGUUCACGGCCCCAAAAAACAGCCCC
This is a long non-coding RNA of Rhododendron vialii, 2443 nucleotides long. RefSeq lists it as uncharacterized. The record is from RefSeq and is a predicted model, not a curated record. Lineage: Eukaryota; Viridiplantae; Streptophyta; Magnoliopsida; Ericales; Ericaceae. The transcript has 2 exons.